GACGAACGCUGGCGGCGUGCUUAACACAUGCAAGUCGAACGGAAAGGCCCUGCUUUUGUGGGGUGCUCGAGUGGCGAACGGGUGAGUAACACGUGAGUAACCUGCCCUUGACUUUGGGAUAACUUCAGGAAACUGGGGCUAAUACCGGAUAGGAGCUCCUGCUGCAUGGUGGGGGUUGGAAAGUUUCGGCGGUUGGGGAUGGACUCGCGGCUUAUCACCUUGUUGGUGGGGUAGUGGCUUACCAAGGCUUUGACGGGUAGCCGGCCUGGGAGGGUGACCGGCCCCAUGGGACCCGGGAUGCGGCCCAAACGCCUCGGGGGGGAAGAAGGGGGAAUAUUGCACAAUGGGCGGAAGCCUGAUGCAGCAACGCCGCGUGCGGGAUGACGGCCUUCGGGUUGUAAACCGCUUUCGCCUGUGACGAAGCGUGAGUGACGGUAAUGGGUAAAGAAGCACCGGCUAACUACGUG
RNAcentral lists this ribosomal RNA (467 nucleotides) under uncultured bacterium. RNAcentral describes it as "partial 16S ribosomal RNA". It matches the Rfam family "Bacterial small subunit ribosomal RNA", at positions 28 to 507 of the family's 1533-position model. The record is from RNAcentral.